GACAGAGGGUGCAAACGUUGUUCGGAAUUACUGGGCGUAAAGCGCGUGUAGGCGGCAGCGUGUGUCGGGCGUGAAAUCCCAUGGCUCAACCAUGGAAGUGCACCCGAAACUGCGCAGCUAGAGUCCUGGAGAGGAAGAUGGAAUACUUGGUGUAGAGGUGAAAUUCGUAGAUAUCAAGUGGAACACCGGUGGCGAAGGCGGUCUUCUGGACAGUGACUGACGCUGAGGCGCGAAAGCCAGGGGAGCAAACGGG
Molecule: ribosomal RNA, 253 nt
Filed under: uncultured bacterium
Lineage: Bacteria
Description: partial 16S ribosomal RNA
Rfam family: Bacterial small subunit ribosomal RNA
Source: RNAcentral